Molecule: long non-coding RNA, 385 nt
Filed under: Centruroides sculpturatus (bark scorpion)
Lineage: Eukaryota; Metazoa; Arthropoda; Arachnida; Scorpiones; Buthidae
Description: uncharacterized LOC111615281
Source: RNAcentral
AGGGAUUUUCAAAUGUUUGUCGAUUAAUUUGUUAACUAGUAUAACUUACGGCACAUAGUGCUAUAUGCAAAUUGUCGGAUCAGUCGACGAGGUGGCAAAAAAAGACUUUUGAAAUUUGUAAGUUUUAGUUUUUUAAAAUCUGCAGAGUUUAUCUUGUUUAUGUGAUAAAAUGUAGAAAAGGUUUUGUUUUUAACCUGUAUAGUUAAAAUUGUGAUAAAAAAUUGAUAUUGAAAAUGUUAAAAAAAACCUAAGUGUAGUCUGAUUUCUACUGUAUGUGCAGUGUCCAUGCUGAAAUGAGUUAGCUGAAGAGGGGCUGAUGCCCGAAACGUUGAUGUAUGGAAAAAACGUUCUAACUAAAUAAAAGAUUCAACUAGCCCAGUGUUGA